RNAcentral lists this transfer RNA (72 nucleotides) under Pangasianodon gigas (Mekong giant catfish). RNAcentral's name for it is "tRNA-Glu". It matches the Rfam family "tRNA". From Rfam's summary of the family: Transfer RNA (tRNA) molecules are approximately 80 nucleotides in length. Their secondary structure includes four short double-helical elements and three loops (D, anti-codon, and T loops). The record is from RNAcentral. Lineage: Eukaryota; Metazoa; Chordata; Actinopteri; Siluriformes; Pangasiidae.
UCCCUGGAGGACUAGUGGUUAGGCCACGGUGCUCUCAUUGCAGUGGCCUGGGUUCAAUUCCCAGCCAGAGAA